UUCCCUCUCUCUCUCCCUCUCUUUCACAAAGCAAAGCUACCACCGAUCGAUCGAGCAAAGACUAAACCACGCGGCAUCGCCUCUCAUCUCUUCCCCACGCGCGUCGUCCCGCGUACUCCCACCACGCACCACACCGUUCUCAGUCCUCACAAGCCGAAGCCGGUUUCGUAUCCCCGGCCGGCCUCCUCCUGAAUGGCAGCGUGCACCUGCCGACGGGCGGCGGCAAGCGUUGGCCGCGCGCGAGCUACGGCGCCCGCGCCCGCGCCACCACGGCGCGUCCCGAAGAGGGGUCAGGUGCUGAAGCGGGCGCUCAAGAGCCUCCUCUCGUGGCUGCCGCGCCGCGGGUGGUGGCUGGCCCGGCUCGGCCGCCGCCCUGCCAAGCUCGGCGGGACCAAGGCCGCCGGCGCCGUCGCAACGCGUCUUGGCUAGCCACUUGCCACUAAAAUUAAGGACCAAUAAGCUAUCACUCAACUGGCUGCAGGUCGUCAACGAGUCAACUUGUCCGGGUCCGGAGGGGUGGGUGGAGCAAAGCAUAUGGUUGCCUCCUCCCUUCCGUUCCGUGGACGUCAUACUACUGUGUAUCACUAUAGUCAACUUCUUCUUGUUUCAUUUGUUGGUUAUUAUUUUGUUGGUCCCAGAUCGAGCUGGUGCACCAAUCCAUGGAAUUGUAUAACAUAUAUAUACAUUACUAUUCUCUACGUUUUCA
This is a long non-coding RNA of Lolium perenne, 706 nucleotides long. RefSeq lists it as uncharacterized. The record is from RefSeq and is a predicted model, not a curated record. Lineage: Eukaryota; Viridiplantae; Streptophyta; Magnoliopsida; Poales; Poaceae.